GGGCCCGCACAAGCGGUGGAGCAUGUGGUUUAAUUCGACGCAACGCGAAGAACCUUACCUACACUUGACAUCCUCGGAACUUUCUAGAGAUAGAUUGGUGCCUUCGGGAACCGAGUGACAGGUGCUGCAUGGCUGUCGUCAGCUCGUGUCGUGAGAUGUUGGGUUAAGUCCCGUAACGAGCGCAACCCUUAUCCUUAAUUGCCAGCGGUUAGGCCGGGAACUCUAAGGAGACUGCCGAUGACAAAUCGGAGGAAGGUGGGGACGACGUCAAGUCAUCAUGGCCCUUACGUGUAGGGCUACACACGUGCUACAAUGGCCGGUACAAACGGUUGCGAACCCGCGAGGGGAAGCUAAUCCGAGAAAGCCGUUCGUAGUCCGGAUUGUUGUCUGCAACUCGACAACAUGAAGUCGGAAUC
This 416-nucleotide ribosomal RNA is filed under the name uncultured bacterium. RNAcentral describes it as "bacterial SSU rRNA". It matches the Rfam family "Bacterial small subunit ribosomal RNA", at positions 917 to 1333 of the family's 1533-position model. The record is from RNAcentral.